RNAcentral lists this non-coding RNA (175 nucleotides) under Anaerolineales bacterium. Its description in RNAcentral is "6S RNA". It matches the Rfam family "6S / SsrS RNA". From Rfam's summary of the family: E. coli 6S RNA was the first non coding RNA to be sequenced, but its function was unknown until recently. It consists of 184 nucleotides that fold into an extended hairpin structure with a large single-stranded internal bulge. The record is from RNAcentral. Lineage: Bacteria; Bacillati; Chloroflexota; Anaerolineae; Anaerolineales.
AAUACCCUGCUGUGUGCGUGAUUGAUGCCUCCAGGUCCUGAGCCAACACCCUAAAAUAGGGACCCUGAUUCGCGAUCAUGAUGCGAUAGGCGCAAGCCAAGGCAAAGUAUCGGAGCGGGCCCUUCCUGCGUAUGCAGGUUCAUGACAUGGUAUCACACGGCAUGGCGGGGUAUUC